RNAcentral lists this ribosomal RNA (1346 nucleotides) under uncultured bacterium. RNAcentral's name for it is "bacterial SSU rRNA". It matches the Rfam family "Bacterial small subunit ribosomal RNA", at positions 28 to 1381 of the family's 1533-position model. The record is from RNAcentral.
GACGAACGCUGGCGGCGUGCUUAACACAUGCAAGUCGAACGGAAAGGCCCUGCUUUUGUGGGGUGCUCGAGUGGCGAACGGGUGAGUAACACGUGAGUAACCUGCCCUUGACUUUGGGAUAACUUCAGGAAACUGGGGCAAAUACCGGAUAGGAGCUCCUGCUGCAUGGUGGGGGUUGGAAAGUUUCGGCGGUUGGGGAUGGACUCGCGGCUUAUCAGCUUGUUGGUGGGGUAGUGGCUUACCAAGGCUUUGACGGGUAGCCGGCCUGAGAGGGUGACCGGCCACAUUGGGACUGAGAUACGGCCCAGACUCCUACGGGAGGCAGCAGUGGGGAAUAUUGCACAAUGGGCGGAAGCCUGAUGCAGCAACGCCGCGUGCGGGAUGACGGCCUUCGGGUUGUAAACCGCUUUCGCCUGUGACGAAGCGUGAGUGACGGUAAUGGGUAAAGAAGCACCGGCUAACUACGUGCCAGCAGCCGCGGUGAUACGUAGGGUGCGAGCGUUGUCCGGAUUUAUUGGGCGUAAAGGGCUCGUAGGUGGUUGAUCGCGUCGGAAGUGUAAUCUUGGGGCUUAACCCUGAGCGUGCUUUCGAUACGGGUUGACUUGAGGAAGGUAGGGGAGAAUGGAAUUCCUGGUGGAGCGGUGGAAUGCGCAGAUAUCAGGAGGAACACCAGUGGCGAAGGCGGUUCUCUGGGCCUUUCCUGACGCUGAGGAGCGAAAGCGUGGGGAGCGAACAGGCUUAGAUACCCUGGUAGUCCACGCUGUAAACGGUGGGUACUAGGUGUGGGGUCCAUUCCACGGGUUCCGUGCCGUAGCUAACGCUUUAAGUACCCCGCCUGGGGAGUACGGCCGCAAGGCUAAAACUCAAAGGAAUUGACGGGGCCCCGCACAAGCGGCGGAGCAUGCGGAUUAAUUCGAUGCAACGCGUAGAACCUUACCUGGGUUUGACAUGGAUCGGGAGCGCUCAGAGAUGGGUGUGCCUCUUUUGGGGUCGGUUCACAGGUGGUGCAUGGCUGUCGUCAGCUCGUGUCGUGAGAUGUUGGGUUAAGUCCCGCAACGAGCGCAACCCUUGUUCACUGUUGCCAGCACGUUAUGGUGGGGACUCAGUGGAGACCGCCGGGGUCAACUCGGAGGAGGGUGGGGAUGACGUCAAGUCAUCAUGCCCCUUAUGUCCAGGGCUUCACGCAUGCUACAAUGGCUGGUACAGAGAGUGGCGAGCCUGUGAGGGUGAGCGAAUCUCGGAAAGCCGGUCUCAGUUCGGAUUGGGGUCUGCAACUCGACCUCAUGAAGUCGGAGUCGCUAGUAAUCGCAGAUCAGCAACGCUGCGGUGAAUAUGUUCCCGGGGCU